AUACGUAGGGAGCAAGCGUUGUCCGGAUUUACUGGGUGUAAAGGGCGCGCAGGCAGCUUAGCAAGUCAGGCGUGAAAUAUAUGGGCUUAACCCAUAGACUGGGUUUGAAACUGUUGAGCUUGAGUGAAGUAGAGGUAGGCGGAAUUCCCGGUGUAGGGGUGAAAUGCGUAGAGAUCGGGAGGAACACCAGUGGCGAAGGCGGCCUACUGGGCUUUAACUGACGACGAGGCACGCAAGCAUGGGUAGCAAACAAGAUUAGAUACCCUGGUAGUCCAUGCCGUAAACGAUGAUUACUAGGUGUGGGGGGUCUGACCCCUUCCGUGCCGGAGUUAACACAAUAAGUAAUCCACCUGGGAAGUACGACCGCAAGGCUGA
This 375-nucleotide ribosomal RNA is filed under the name uncultured bacterium. Its description in RNAcentral is "bacterial SSU rRNA". It matches the Rfam family "Bacterial small subunit ribosomal RNA", at positions 523 to 897 of the family's 1533-position model. The record is from RNAcentral.